GUGACCAGCUGUCUCAGUUGACUCAGGACAAAUGAGCUUCCUGGAAUGCAAAACUUUUAUUUUUAAAAUUGAGACAAAUAGAGCAAACUAGGAUGAGCUGGUCACCCUGCAAAUGAGACAUGACAACUAAAUGCAAGAGAGGAUCCUGGAUGGCACCAGAAGAAGAAACUGAGGCCUAGAAAUGUGAAAAAAUUUGCCCGAAAACACUCAUGAAAAGCAAGAACCCAUAGUCACACUCAGGGCUGGGGGACUCCAAAGUUGGUGCUCUCUCCCAGCAUGCAGAACAAGGAUUCUAGGCUGGAAGCUGAGAAGCAAGAAAAGGGAGGAAGAGUGAGCCUCAGCUGGGCACUGACACAUGACUGGCACUAGAGCUGGCACCUGACACAUGACAUCUUCACAUCACACUCUUCCUUCACUUAGAUGGAGAAAUAAGGUCUGGAGAGGUUGAUAAAGCUUCCCCGAACUGUUCCCAUUCAUGGUACCUCUUUCCUUGCCUCUGUGUUACUGAUCUGAGCCAUCCAUGUUAACAUCACACAAAAUUCAAUGACUCUACACCAGCGGUCCAGGAUGAUGACAUGAGGUGUCACUGGGGGGGGUAGUUCUUGCUACUGAGAUCCAUCCUCUCCCACAGCAGCACAUCACUCAUAAUAUCACAGUCUUUAUUUUCAACAACCCCACUGACCCCAGAGACAAAGCAUGUCCCAUGUAGAGCUGGGAAAAGGUUUAAUACUGAUAGGGAGGGAAAAGUUCACAUGAUAAUUCAGCCAAGAAACUGAGCUGGCCAUUCUGGCCUCUGUUCUCUUGCUGUGAACUUGAGCUCCCAUAGCCAAGUACAACUCAGGGUGGCCAUGUCCAGAGCGUGUUAAGGGCCUUUCAUUCCAUUUCCUCGUCAGUAUCCCGGGAAACGGGCAGUAAACACCAAAACAACAGGACAAGGAAAUAAAAUCUUAAGCAAUUAAUUAUUAUAAGAUUUCCAC
Molecule: long non-coding RNA, 977 nt
Filed under: Homo sapiens (human)
Lineage: Eukaryota; Metazoa; Chordata; Mammalia; Primates; Hominidae
Description: HSALNT0122287
Source: RNAcentral